Molecule: RNA transcript, 1798 nt
Organism: Solanum lycopersicum (tomato)
Lineage: Eukaryota; Viridiplantae; Streptophyta; Magnoliopsida; Solanales; Solanaceae
Gene name: primase homolog protein
Source: RefSeq, a predicted model, not a curated record
AACCAAAGCCAAGGGUAGGUUGGUCACCUCAGAAAAAAAAGAAAAAAAAAAUAGAGUGAGAGAGUGUGUUGGGAUAACUUAAAAGAGGCGACAAUGGCGUUUGAGGCUUUUGAGAGCUCUCUUAAAACUCUUGAAAUGCUUAAUGGCUUGGCGUCAACUCUCUUUAGAGCUCGUCCUGUUAUACUCUACACUUUCAUCUCAAGAUUUUCGCCUAACAGUCAUGGUUUUCUUACUAUUACUCCUACUAGGCUCUUCACACCUGCAGCUAGUUUGAGGAGAGAUGAAAAUAAGGAGGUGGAUGAUUAUGCUGAACUGAAGGAGAAAGUGGAGAAUUUUGGUAUAUGCUGCAAUUCUGUUACUCCUGAAGAAUACACAAGAUUAAUGUGUCCCAAGUGUAAAGGUGGUCGGUCAAUGGAAAAGAGUUUAUCAUUUCAUAUGUCCUCGAAAAGGAAUUCUGCAUUAUGGAGGUGUUUCAAUAUUGACUGUGGAUGGGCAGGCCAGAUCCCACACAAUAGUGCGGCAUCUGAUGGGGUCCAUCAACGUGGCAGAAUAAAUUUUCCUCGGAUACUUACAGAGGAAAGCUUGAACUUAGAACCAUUAGGUGAUAUGCUGGCUGCAUAUUUUUCUAAGAGGAUGAUAUCAAUGAAUACUUUGAAGAGAAAUCAUGUCAUGCAAAUGGCUGGUGAUCAGAUCAUCAUUGCCUUCACUUAUAGACGGAAUGGUAUGCUCAUCGGCUGCAAGUAUAGGACUCUUGAGAAAAGGUUUUGGCAGGAGAAGGGUGCUGAUAAGGUACUAUAUGGACUGGAUGAUGUAAGAGAAGCAGAUGAGAUCAUCAUUGUAGAAGGUGAAAUAGAUAAGCUUUCAGUGGAAGAAGCUGGAUUUCCUAACUGUGUCAGUGUUCCUAAUGGUGCACCACAGGGCAUCGCAUCCAAAGAACUGCUACCACUGGAAGAGGAUUAUAUUUCCAGCUUAAUAGUUCUUCUUGCACCUGAAGACAGGAUACCAGAUUUUCAUACCUGUGGAACUGCAAUGAGUGCUUGGAGAAGGCGUCCCGGAUUGUGCUGGCAACUGAUGGUGAUUUACCAGGCCAAGCAUUGGCUGAAGAGCUUGCCCGCCGUCUGGGGAAAGAAAGGUGUUGGCAAGUAUGUUGGCCGAAAAAGAAUGAGUUAAGCAGUUAUAAAGAUGCAAAUGAGGUACUUGUUAAUCUGGGAAGAGAAGCUCUGAAAGAAGCGAUUGAAUGUGCCGUGCCAUAUGAAAUGCAGAAUUUGAACUAAUCCACAAAGUUUUUAGUCUUAAGAGAUAUCUUUCCAACAUUACUUGACCCUCUCCUCGAGACUUUAUGCAUCUGUAAGUAACAUUACUCAAGAUGAAAACGCGAAGCAAUUUUUGUCAACACCUAGAUUUUCCUUUUCAAAAGUUUCAUAUUCUCCUCUAGAAAUCUUGGACUUGGAUUUCUCAAAAUAGUGUGCUUAAAUAGGUGACAGGUUGGUUGAUGAAAUGUUUCAUUGUUUACUUGGAAUGAAGGUUCUUUGUACAUAGCAUAUUUACCAUACAAGGUACCUUAUUAUAAAGAUGCUUGGAGGAAUGAAAUGCAAUUGGCUUGGCCACAGGUUUGGGAGAUUUGAAUUUGUUAUAAUGUAUAUUUGAUAUUUUCAUCUAUUAUUUGUUUCAAAUAAUGUUAGUGUAUGUCUCCAACUCCUAAUAGCUAGAGGUGUAACGCAUAAUGAUCUCUUAUGACUACUUACGAAUUGAAUAGAAGAAAAUAUCUUGAAAUGAAAUAAGUUGAAUGAUUGAAUAA